GGGGUUGUGGCUCAGCGGUAGAGUACUCAUCUAGCACGUGCGAGGUCCUAAGUUCAAUCCUUAGCACCACA
Molecule: transfer RNA, 71 nt
Filed under: Marmota monax (woodchuck)
Lineage: Eukaryota; Metazoa; Chordata; Mammalia; Rodentia; Sciuridae
Description: tRNA.Ala
Rfam family: tRNA
About the family: Transfer RNA (tRNA) molecules are approximately 80 nucleotides in length. Their secondary structure includes four short double-helical elements and three loops (D, anti-codon, and T loops). Further hydrogen bonds mediate the characteristic L-shaped molecular structure. tRNAs have two regions of fundamental functional importance: the anti-codon, which is responsible for specific mRNA codon recognition, and the 3' end, to which the tRNAs corresponding amino acid is attached (by aminoacyl-tRNA synthetases). tRNAs cope with the degeneracy of the genetic code in two manners: having more than one tRNA (with a specific anti-codon) for a particular amino acid; and 'wobble' base-pairing, i.e. permitting non-standard base-pairing at the 3rd anti-codon position.
Source: RNAcentral